AGAGUUUGAUCAUGGCUCAGAGUGAACGCUGGCGGCAGGCCUAACACAUGCAAGUCGAACGGCAGCACAGAGGAGCUUGCUCCUUGGGUGGCGAGUGGCGGACGGGUGAGGAAUGCAUCGGAAUCUGCCUAUUUGUGGGGGAUAACGUAGGGAAACUUACGCUAAUACCGCAUACGUCCUGCGGGAGAAAGUGGGGGACCUUCGGGCCUCACGCAGAUAGAUGAGCCGAUGCCGGAUUAGCUAGUUGGCGGGGUAAAGGCCCACCAAGGCGACGAUCCGUAGCUGGUCUGAGAGGAUGAUCAGCCACACUGGAACUGAGACACGGUCCAGACUCCUACGGGAGGCAGCAGUGGGGAAUAUUGGACAAUGGGCGCAAGCCUGAUCCAGCCAUGCCGCGUGUGUGAAGAAGGCCUUCGGGUUGUAAAGCACUUUUGUCCGGAAAGAAAAGCGCUCGAUUAAUACUCGGGUGUUAUGACGGUACCGGAAGAAUAAGCACCGGCUAACUUCGUGCCAGCAGCCGCGGUAAUACGAAGGGUGCAAGCGUUACUCGGAAUUACUGGGCGUAAAGCGUGCGUAGGUGGUUUGUUAAGUCUGAUGUGAAAGCCCUGGGCUCAACCUGGGAACUGCAUUGGAAACUGGCUUACUAGAGUGCGGUAGAGGGGUGUGGAAUUCCCGGUGUAGCAGUGAAAUGCGUAGAUAUCGGGAGGAACAUCUGUGGCGAAGGCGACACCCUGGACCAGCACUGACACUGAGGCACGAAAGCGUGGGGAGCAAACAGGAUUAGAUACCCUGGUAGUCCACGCCCUAAACGAUGCGAACUGGAUGUUGGGGGCAACUUGGCCCUCAGUAUCGAAGCUAACGCGUUAAGUUCGCCGCCU
This 878-nucleotide ribosomal RNA is filed under the name uncultured bacterium. RNAcentral describes it as "bacterial SSU rRNA". It matches the Rfam family "Bacterial small subunit ribosomal RNA", at positions 9 to 873 of the family's 1533-position model. The record is from RNAcentral.